CCUACGGGAGGCAGCAGUGAGGAAUAUUGGUCAAUGGACGAGAGUCUGAACCAGCCAAGUAGCGUGAAGGAUGACUGCCCUAUGGGUUGUAAACUUCUUUUAUAAAGGAAUAAAACGAGGCACGUGUGCCUUUUUGCAUGUACUUUAUGAAUAAGGAUCGGCUAACUCCGUGCCAGCAGCCGCGGUAAUACGGAGGAUCCGAGCGUUAUCCGGAUUUAUUGGGUUUAAAGGGUGCGUAGAUGGGUUGUUAAGUCAGUGGUGAAAGUUUGGGGCUCAACCGUAAAAUUGCCAUUGAUACUGGCAGUCUUGAGUACAGUUGAGGUAGGCGGAAUGCGUGGUGUAGCGGUGAAAUGCUUAGAUAUCACGAAGAACCCCGAUUGCGAAGGCAGCUUACUAAGCUGUGACUGACGUUGAUGCACGAAAGUGUGGGGAUCAAACAGGAUUAGAUACCCGGGUAGUC
Molecule: ribosomal RNA, 460 nt
Filed under: uncultured bacterium
Lineage: Bacteria
Description: partial 16S ribosomal RNA
Rfam family: Bacterial small subunit ribosomal RNA
Source: RNAcentral